CCUACGGGUGGCAGCAGUGGGGAAUAUUGGACAAUGGGGGCAACCCUGAUCCAGCCAUGCCGCGUGUGUGAAGAAGGCCCUCGGGUUGUAAAGCACUUUCAGUGAGGAAGAACGCCUGGUGGUUAAUACCCAUCAGGAAAGCCAUCACUCACCGAAGAAGCACCGGCUAACUCCGUGCCAGCAGCCGCGGUAAUACGGAGGGUGCGAGCGUUAAUCGGAAUUACUGGGCGUAAAGCGCGCGUAGGUGGCUUGAUAAGCCGGUUGUGAAAGCCCCGGGCUCAACCUGGGAACGGCAUCCGGAACUGUCAAGCUAGAGUGCAGGAGAGGAAGGUAGAAUUCCCGGUGUAGCGGUGAAAUGCGUAGAGAUCGGGAGGAAUACCAGUGGCGAAGGCGGCCUUCUGGACUGACACUGACACUGAGGUGCGAAAGCGUGGGUAGCAAACAGGAUUAGAUACCCCUGUAGUC
RNAcentral lists this ribosomal RNA (465 nucleotides) under Vreelandella stevensii. Its description in RNAcentral is "partial 16S ribosomal RNA". It matches the Rfam family "Bacterial small subunit ribosomal RNA", at positions 338 to 795 of the family's 1533-position model. Lineage: Bacteria; Pseudomonadati; Pseudomonadota; Gammaproteobacteria; Oceanospirillales; Halomonadaceae. The record is from RNAcentral.